GAGAUUGUGGGCUCCUUGAGGGCUCUGCCUUUUUGUUCUGUGUAGCCCCAGCACAUAGUAGGGGAAGUCACACAGGAAAUCCAAAAGCAUGGGAAGACCCUGGGCCGAGGGAGCAGAGGCUGAAACUCUGGGAAAAGCUGUGAGGACCACAAAAGUGGUUGGGCCCCUAAUGGCCUCAAGACCCGGGGUACAACAAACCCCACAGGAGGCCCAAUGACACCCCCUGUCCUAACUCAGCUCAGGAAGAGGCAGCUGCCAUGGUUUAAAGAAUGUGGGUUUUUAGGGUAGAUAGACCCCACAUCUGCUCCAUA
This 311-nucleotide long non-coding RNA is filed under the name Homo sapiens (human). RNAcentral describes it as "HSALNT0290623". Lineage: Eukaryota; Metazoa; Chordata; Mammalia; Primates; Hominidae. The record is from RNAcentral.